This 499-nucleotide ribosomal RNA is filed under the name uncultured Glomeromycotina. RNAcentral's name for it is "partial small subunit ribosomal RNA". It matches the Rfam family "Eukaryotic small subunit ribosomal RNA", at positions 591 to 1092 of the family's 1831-position model. The record is from RNAcentral. Lineage: Eukaryota; Fungi; Glomeromycota.
CCAAUAGCGUAUAUUAAAGUUGCUGCAGUUAAAAAGCCCGUAGUUGAAUUUCGGGACCAAUAUGUCGGUCGUGCCUCGGUACGUACUGGCAUCGUUGGUUUCUCCCUUCUGACGAACCAUGAUGUCAUUUAUUUGGUGUCGUGGGGAAUCAGGACUGUUACUUUGAAAAAAUUAGAGUGUUUAAAGCAGGCUCACGCUUGAAUACAUUAGCAUGGAAUAAUGAAAUAGGACGUUUGAUUCUAUUUUGUUGGUUUCUAGGAUCGACGUAAUGAUUAAUAGGGAUAGUUGGUGGCAUUAGUAUUCAAUUGUCAGAGGUGAAAUUCUUGGAUUUAUUGAAGACUAACUACUGCGAAAGCAUUUGCCAAGGAUGUUUUCAUUAAUCAAGAACGAAAGUUAGGGGAUCGAAGACGAUCAGAUACCGUCGUAGUCUUAACCAUAAACUAUGCCGACUAGGGAUCGGAUGAUGUUAAUUUUUUAAUGACUCAUUCGGCGCCUUACG